RNAcentral lists this transfer RNA (72 nucleotides) under Rhodopirellula sp. RNAcentral describes it as "tRNA-Cys". It matches the Rfam family "tRNA". From Rfam's summary of the family: Transfer RNA (tRNA) molecules are approximately 80 nucleotides in length. Their secondary structure includes four short double-helical elements and three loops (D, anti-codon, and T loops). Further hydrogen bonds mediate the characteristic L-shaped molecular structure. tRNAs have two regions of fundamental functional importance: the anti-codon, which is responsible for specific mRNA codon recognition, and the 3' end, to which the tRNAs corresponding amino acid is attached (by aminoacyl-tRNA synthetases). tRNAs cope with the degeneracy of the genetic code in two manners: having more than one tRNA (with a specific anti-codon) for a particular amino acid; and 'wobble' base-pairing, i.e. permitting non-standard base-pairing at the 3rd anti-codon position. Lineage: Bacteria; Pseudomonadati; Planctomycetota; Planctomycetia; Pirellulales; Pirellulaceae. The record is from RNAcentral.
GACGUCGCAACCUGAUGGUCAGGCGGCUGCCUGCAACGCAGCUUGGCGCGGGUUCGAUUCCCGUCGGCGUCU